GGAGGCCACAUUACCUGGACAUAUCCUGUUUGGUAAAGGCCUUGCAACAAGUCCGUCAGUAACCCAACCCAUUGAUACACUGUCGCUUUUGACAUGGCUGAAUUCCCAUUGUGUGUAUGCUAGAGAUAUUUGUAGCCUUCCCCCUGCUCUGCAAUCAGCAGAGGUACCACUUGCAUCAAGUCCUGCAUUACUCUCCAACCAGUACAAAUAAUUCACUUGGAAUAGUGCCUUGAGCAUGUCUUGUCCUGAACAACUUUCUUUAAGCACUACACAGAAUCUUCUGUUGUGUUCAGUCAAAAUGUAGCCUUCGUCUCUAUACAGAUUGAACAGUGCAAGCACUUCGUCCUUGUUUUUCACAAUAUCACUAAGCUUUGAGCCAAGCUGCAACCGCUUCUCAAU
Molecule: unclassified non-coding RNA, 399 nt
Filed under: Hevea brasiliensis (rubber tree)
Lineage: Eukaryota; Viridiplantae; Streptophyta; Magnoliopsida; Malpighiales; Euphorbiaceae
Source: RNAcentral